Molecule: ribosomal RNA, 623 nt
Filed under: uncultured archaeon
Lineage: Archaea
Description: bacterial SSU rRNA
Rfam family: Archaeal small subunit ribosomal RNA
Source: RNAcentral
GUAAUACUCCAUAGUUCGUGAGUACUGGAAUGUCUUUCGAACGAAAGAUCCGUCGCUUCAGGAUGAGUCUGCGGCUGAUUAGGUAGUUGUUGUGGUAACGGCCCAACAAGCCUAUGAUCGGUACGGGUUGUGGGAGCAAGAGCCCGGAGAUGGAUUCUGAGACACGAAUCCAGGCCCUACGGGGCGCAGCAGGCGCGAAAACUUUACCAUACGGGCAACCGUGAUAAGGAAACCCCGAGUGCCAGCAUAGGCUGGCUGUCCGCCAGUUUAAAAAACUGGUGAAGAAAGGGCCGGGCAAGACCGGUGCCAGCCGCCGCGGUAAUACCGGCGGCUCGAGUGGUGGCCACUAUUACUGGGCUUAAAGGGUCCGUAGCUUGAUAUGCAAGUCUUUUGAGAAAUCCGCCAGCUUAACUGGCGGGCGUUCAGGGGAAACUGCAUUUCUUGGGACCGGGAGAGGUGAGAGGUACUGCCGGGGUAGGAGUGAAAUCCUGUAAUCCCGGUGGGACCACCUAUAGCGAAGGCAUCUCACCAGAACGGGUCCGACAGUGAGGGACGAAAGCUGGGGGAGCAAACCGGAUUAGAUACCCGGGUAGUCCCAGCUGUAAACGAUGCGCGUUAGGUGU